This 957-nucleotide long non-coding RNA is filed under the name Brachypodium distachyon (stiff brome). Its description in RNAcentral is "long non-coding RNA (BDIS_LNC001692)". The record is from RNAcentral. Lineage: Eukaryota; Viridiplantae; Streptophyta; Magnoliopsida; Poales; Poaceae.
CUCUCCCCUGUCUCUCUCGCGUCUCUCUCUCACUCCUGCUCGCCCCCACCUCCCCUGUUGCCGCUCCCUCUCUCCCCUGGAUGAGCGUCCACUUGCCGGACCUGCUGGCGCCCCUCACGGCCAGGAUCUCGCCCUCCCUCGCCUCGCCCGACACGUCGUCCAGCAGCGCCCUGGUCUGCGCUUCACGGGGCGCCGCGGCGGUCGACACACGGUGCAGCGGCAACAGGCGGAGCCCGUGGCUGGGGGGACGGGCGCAGGAUGAGGCCGAGCGCCAUGGCCGCCAUGGGACAGGCGGUUCUCCCAUCCUCCCCACGUCAACCCGCCGCCGGCCUUCACCGAUGAGCUCGGCACGCAACCAUCUUGUUUAGAACCCAGAUCGCCCAUUGGAACCCAGAUCCUUUUUUUUAAUCUUUGAUCCAUCGACUGAUUUCUUAUGGUUGAUGAUUGAUUAGUUAAUUUGGUACUUCACCGAUGAGGUAUUGUGUUUUGUUGAUCUUGGAUGUUUGGUUUCUUUUUGAAUCUUGUAUUGUGAUCUUGCAAUUUUGUACUGUGAGUACCUUCAUGUACCAUAUGAUUUUUUAAUAUUUGUGGUUUCUUCUUUGAUGAUUGUGCUGUGAUUUUUGAGUACCAUCAUGUACCAUGGGUACACGACUAGGUAUUGUGAUUGUUGUGUGAUGUUUUUGAAAUUGAUGACGUACAUCAUGUGUAUAUUAACAAGGUGCUACAAAUUGACGAUGUACAUUGAGAAGGUGCUUAAUACUUUUGAUCGUAAUUGUAGUGUAAAUGAGUAUUGAUAGGGUAUUUAAAUUGACGAGGUACGUAUAUUUGACGAUAUGUUGCCAUGUACUCACAUGUACCCUGAUGUACUUGCUAUGUACUGACAUGUACCCUGAUGUACUUGCUAUGUACUGACAUGUACCCUGAUGUACUUGCUAUAUACUACUCAUGUACACGAGG